Molecule: ribosomal RNA, 501 nt
Filed under: uncultured bacterium
Lineage: Bacteria
Description: partial 16S ribosomal RNA
Rfam family: Bacterial small subunit ribosomal RNA
Source: RNAcentral
AUUGAACGCUGGCGGCAGGCUUAACACAUGCAAGUCGAGCGGAGAUGAGGUGCUUGCACCUUAUCUUAGCGGCGGACGGGUGAGUAAUGCUUAGGAAUCUGCCUAUUAGUGGGGGACAACAUUCCGAAAGGAAUGCUAAUACCGCAUACGUCCUACGGGAGAAAGCAGGGGAUCUUCGGGCCUUGCGCUAAUAGAUGAGCCUAAGUCGGAUUAGCUAGUUGGUGGGGUAAAGGCCUACCAAGGCGACGAUCUGUAGCGGGUCUGAGAGGAUGAUCCGCCACACCGGGACUGAGACACGGCCCAGACUCCUACGGGAGGCAGCAGUGGGGAAUAUUGGACAAUGGGGGAAACCCUGAUCCAGCCAUGCCGCGUGUGUGAAGAAGGCCUUAUGGUUGUAAAGCACUUUAAGCGAGGAGGAGGCUACUGAGACUAAUACUCUUGGAUAGUGGACGUUACUCGCAGAAUAAGCACCGGCUAACUCUGUGCCAGCCGCCGCCGUAA